RNAcentral lists this ribosomal RNA (424 nucleotides) under Fusobacteriota bacterium. Its description in RNAcentral is "Fusobacteria bacterium partial 16S ribosomal RNA". It matches the Rfam family "Bacterial small subunit ribosomal RNA", at positions 355 to 776 of the family's 1533-position model. The record is from RNAcentral. Lineage: Bacteria; Fusobacteriati; Fusobacteriota.
UGAGGAAUAUUGGUCAAUGGGCGAGAGCCUGAACCAGCCAAGUAGCGUGCAGGAUGACGGCCCUAUGGGUUGUAAACUGCUUUUAUGUGGGGAUAAAGUGCGUGACGUGUCAUGCAUUGCAGGUACCACAUGAAUAAGGACCGGCUAAUUCCGUGCCAGCAGCCGCGGUAAUACGGAAGGUCCGGGCGUUAUCCGGAUUUAUUGGGUUUAAAGGGAGCGUAGGCUGUCUAUUAAGCGUGUUGUGAAAUUUACCGGCUCAACCGGUGGCUUGCAGCGCGAACUGGUCGACUUGAGUAUGCAGGAAGUAGGCGGAAUUCAUGGUGUAGCGGUGAAAUGCUUAGAUAUCAUGACGAACUCCGAUUGCGCAGGCAGCUUACUGUAGCAUAACUAACGCUAAUGCUCGAAAGUGCGGGUAUCAAACAGG